AGAGUUUGAUCCUGGCUCAAAAUCAACGCUGGCGGCGUGCCUAACACAUGCAAGUCGAACGCGAAAGCCCUUUCGGGGGUGAGUAGAGUGGCGUCCGGGUGAGUAACACGUAGGUAAUCUACCUUCGGGUGGGGAAUAACGCCUCGAAAGAGGCGCUAAUACCGCAUAAUGCAGCGGCAGCUAAUGCUGAAUAUUUGUUAAAGCGGGGGACCCCGUAGGGGGCCUCGCGCCUGAAGAGGAGCCUGCGGCAUAUUAGCUAGUUGGGGGGGUAACGGCCCACCAAGGCAACGAUCUGUAGCUGGUCUGAGAGGACGGCCAGCCACACUGGCACUGGCACACGGGCCAGACUCCUACGGGAGGCAGCAGUGGGGAAUUUUGGGCAAUGGGGGAAACCCUGACCCAGCAACGCCGCGUGAGGGAGGAAAUCCUUCGGGAUGUAAACCUCACAAGCAAGGGAAGAGCGCACACGGCAGAAUACGCCGUGUGUCCGACGGUAUCUUGCGUAAGCCACGGCUAACUACGUGCCAGCAGCCGCGGUAAU
This 541-nucleotide ribosomal RNA is filed under the name uncultured bacterium. RNAcentral's name for it is "bacterial SSU rRNA". It matches the Rfam family "Bacterial small subunit ribosomal RNA", at positions 8 to 524 of the family's 1533-position model. The record is from RNAcentral.